RNAcentral lists this ribosomal RNA (497 nucleotides) under uncultured bacterium. RNAcentral's name for it is "partial 16S ribosomal RNA". It matches the Rfam family "Bacterial small subunit ribosomal RNA", at positions 28 to 507 of the family's 1533-position model. The record is from RNAcentral.
GAUGAACGCUGGCGGCGUGCCUAAUACAUGCAAGUCGAGCGAACGGACGAGAAGCUUGCUUUUCUGAUGUUAGCGGCGGACGGGUGAGUAACACGUGGAUAACCUACCUAUAAGACUGGGAUCACUUCGGGAAACCGGAGCUAAUACCGGAUAAUCUUUUGAACCGCAUGGUUCAAUAGUGAAAUACGGUCUUGCUGUCACUUAUAGAUGGAUCCGCGCUGCAUUAGCUAGUUGGUAAGGUAACGGCUUACCAAGGCCACGAUGCGUAGCCGACCUGAGAGGGGGAUCGGCCACACUGGAACGUGACCACCGGCCAGACGCCUACGGGAGGGAGCAGUAGGGAAUGUUACGCAACGGGGGGAAGCCUUGAGGAACAAAGCAGCGUGGGUGACGGAAGGCUUCCGAGCGGUAAAACGUUUUUUUAGGGAAAAAAAAAUUUGGAAAGAACCAUGCCCGACUUGACGGUAACGAAUGAGAAAGCCACGGCUAACUACGUG